This 365-nucleotide ribosomal RNA is filed under the name uncultured Streptococcus sp. RNAcentral's name for it is "bacterial SSU rRNA". It matches the Rfam family "Bacterial small subunit ribosomal RNA", at positions 1014 to 1382 of the family's 1533-position model. Lineage: Bacteria; Bacillati; Bacillota; Bacilli; Lactobacillales; Streptococcaceae. The record is from RNAcentral.
UUACUUCGGUACAUCGGUGACAGGUGGUGCAUGGUUGUCGUCAGCUCGUGUCGUGAGAUGUUGGUUAAGUCCCGCAACGAGCGCAACCCCUAUUGUUAGUUGCCAUCAUUCAGUUGGGCACUCUAGCGAGACUGCCGGUAAUAAACCGGAGGAAGGUGGGGAUGACGUCAAAUCAUCAUGCCCCUUAUGGCCUGGGCUACACACGUGCUACAAUGGUUGGUACAACGAGUUGCGAGUCGGUGACGGCGAGCUAAUCUCUUAAAGCCAAUCUCAGUUCGGAUUGUAGGCUGCAACUCGCCUACAUGAAGUCGGAAUCGCUAGUAAUCGCGGAUCAGCACGCCGCGGUGAAUACGUUCCCGGGCCUU